AGUGAACGCUGGCGGUAGGCCUAACACAUGCAAGUCGAACGGCAGCACAGUAAGAGCUUGCUCUUACGGGUGGCGAGUGGCGGACGGGUGAGGAAUACAUCGGAAUCUACUUUUUCGUGGGGAUAACGCAGGGAAACUUAAGGUAAUACCGCAUACGACCUACGGGUGAAAGCAGGGGGUCUUCGGACCCUGCGCGAUUGAAUGAGCCGAUGUCGGAUUAGAUAGUUGGCGGGGUAAAGGCCCACCAAGGCGACGAUCCGUAGCUGGUCUGAGAGGAUGAUCAGCCACACUAGAACUGAGACACGGUCCAGACUCCUACGGGAGGCAGCAGUGGGGAAUAUUGGACAAUGGGCGCAAGCCUGAUCCAGCCAUACCGCGUGGGUGAAGAAGGCCUUCGGGUUGUAAAGCCCUUUUGUUGGGAAAGAAAAGCAGCAGGUUAAAACCCCGCUGUUCUGACGGUACCCAAAGAAUAAGCACCGGCUAACUUCGUG
RNAcentral lists this ribosomal RNA (491 nucleotides) under uncultured bacterium. RNAcentral's name for it is "partial 16S ribosomal RNA". It matches the Rfam family "Bacterial small subunit ribosomal RNA", at positions 29 to 507 of the family's 1533-position model. The record is from RNAcentral.